Molecule: ribosomal RNA, 394 nt
Filed under: Sphingomonas sp. F108
Lineage: Bacteria; Pseudomonadati; Pseudomonadota; Alphaproteobacteria; Sphingomonadales; Sphingomonadaceae
Also listed under: 2 other names
Description: bacterial SSU rRNA
Rfam family: Bacterial small subunit ribosomal RNA
Source: RNAcentral
GUGGGAAUCUGCCCCUUGGUUCGGAAUAACAGUUGGAAACGACUGCUAAUACCGGAUGAUGACGUAAGUCCAAAGAUUUAUCGCCGAGGGAUGAGCCCGCGUAGGAUUAGGUAGUUGGUGUGGUAAAGGCGCACCAAGCCGACGAUCCUUAGCUGGUCUGAGAGGAUGAUCAGCCACACUGGGACUGAGACACGGCCCAGACUCCUACGGGAGGCAGCAGUGGGGAAUAUUGGACAAUGGGCGAAAGCCUGAUCCAGCAAUGCCGCGUGAGUGAUGAAGGCCUUAGGGUUGUAAAGCUCUUUUACCCGGGAUGAUAAUGACAGUACCGGGAGAAUAAGCUCCGGCUAACUCCGUGCCAGCAGCCGCGGUAAUACGGAGGGAGCUAGCGUUAUUC